GUCUCCAUAGCUCAGCUGGAUAGAGCGUUCGCCUCCUAAGCGAAAGGCCCGCGGUUCAAAUCCGCGUGGGGACGCCA
Molecule: transfer RNA, 77 nt
Filed under: Clostridiales bacterium
Lineage: Bacteria; Bacillati; Bacillota; Clostridia; Eubacteriales
Also listed under: 1 other name
Description: tRNA-Arg
Rfam family: tRNA
About the family: Transfer RNA (tRNA) molecules are approximately 80 nucleotides in length. Their secondary structure includes four short double-helical elements and three loops (D, anti-codon, and T loops).
Source: RNAcentral